AAAUGAAAUUCCCAUGUGGGCUUAGUAGCCUUGUUGAUCAUAAUAUUGGAUCGGUAUCCCUCAAGAUCUUUGGUUAAAUUCGGUGGUUAAACUUUAAAGUCACUAAGGAGUGGAUAAACCUGUCAGGAGGGGUUCAACGGUAAAGAAUGAGAGAUGUAGGUGAAAUGAUCUUCUCUUUCCCGCAAACUUAUUGACCGAGUUUGAAAGAAGGACCAGUGG
Molecule: long non-coding RNA, 219 nt
Filed under: Linum usitatissimum (flax)
Lineage: Eukaryota; Viridiplantae; Streptophyta; Magnoliopsida; Malpighiales; Linaceae
Description: long non-coding RNA (LUSI_LNC003747)
Source: RNAcentral